RNAcentral lists this ribosomal RNA (492 nucleotides) under uncultured bacterium. Its description in RNAcentral is "partial 16S ribosomal RNA". It matches the Rfam family "Bacterial small subunit ribosomal RNA", at positions 28 to 507 of the family's 1533-position model. The record is from RNAcentral.
GAUGAACGCUAGCUACAGGCUUAACACAUGCAAGUCGAGGGGAAACGACGUCGAAAGCUUGCUUUUGAUGGGCGUCGACCGGCGCACGGGUGAGUAACGCGUAUCCAACCUGCCCAUCACUUGGGAAUAACCUUGCGAAAGUAAGACUAAUACCCAAUGACAUCCCACGAAGACAUCUGAAUGGGAUUAAAGAUUUAUCGGUGAUGGAUGGGGAUGCGUCUGAUUAGCUUGUUGGCGGGGUAACGGCCCACCAAGGCAACGAUCAGUAGGGGUUCUGAGAGGAAGGUCCCCCACAUUGGAACUGAGACACGGUCCAAACUCCUACGGGAGGCAGCAGUGAGGAAUAUUGAUCAAUGGGCGAGAGCCUGAACCAGCCAAGUAGCGUGCAGGAUGACGGCCCUAUGGGUUGUAAACUGCUUUUAUAAGGGAAUAAAGUGGGUCUCGUGAGACUUUUUGCAUGUACCUUAUGAAUAAGGACCGGCUAAUUCCGUG